GCAAGUAGAAAGAUUUUCCUGUUUGCGUGAUCCACACCUAGAACUUGGAAUCGCUACUUCUUUGGAUUAUGACUCCCAGAUUCUCCCAACCAGUAUGGCCAGUCCAGAAGUUACUUUUCAAGGAAAUGAAGGCCCAAAAUUCAAGUUGCUCAAGUCCAGAUUCAGGUGACAUCUAAAGAGCAAGCAGAUAUAAAAGCCAGCCAAACUGUCAACUGAUUUUUUCUUCACCAUGGGUGAUGAACAGCAACACUCUCCAACAUAAAUGAAGUCAAAGAUAUAGCCAUUUUAUUCUGUAGAAUCAGUAUGUAGAGAGAUCUUGUAGUACCUUUGAGACUAACUGAAGAAGGCAGAAGGCAGACUGCUUAGUAUGCAUUUCUCUCAUCCAAAUAUUUGUUGUUGCCUCUAAGGGUUUGCUACUUGACUGCUUCACUUUUACUAAUGGUAGGACUACCUUGGUGCAGUGGUUUGUGCACUGGACUAUGACUCUGGAGACGUGGGUUUGAAUCCUUGCUCACCCACAAAAAACUCACUGGGUGACCUUGGGCAAGUCACACUCUCUCAGC
Sceloporus undulatus (fence lizard) is the source of this 563-nucleotide long non-coding RNA. RefSeq lists it as uncharacterized. Lineage: Eukaryota; Metazoa; Chordata; Lepidosauria; Squamata; Phrynosomatidae. The record is from RefSeq and is a predicted model, not a curated record. The transcript has 3 exons.